RNAcentral lists this ribosomal RNA (407 nucleotides) under uncultured bacterium. Its description in RNAcentral is "partial 16S ribosomal RNA". It matches the Rfam family "Bacterial small subunit ribosomal RNA", at positions 30 to 526 of the family's 1533-position model. The record is from RNAcentral.
AUUGAACGCUGGCGGCAGGCCUAACACAUGCAAGUCGAGCGGAGCGCCGGUCGGGUGAGUAAUGCCUAGGAAUCUGCCUGGUAGUGGGGGAUAACGUCCGGAAACGGGCGCUAAUACCGCUUACUAUCAGCUGAGCCUAGUCCGGAUUAGCUAGUUGGUGGGGUAAAGGCCUACCAAGGCGACGAUACGUAACUGGUCCGAGAGGAUGAUCAGUCACACUGGAACUGAGAAAAGGUCCAGACACGUACGGGAGGCAGCAGUGGGGAAUAUUGAACAAUGGGCGAAAGCCUGAUCCAGCCAGGCCGCGUGUGUGAAGAAGGUCUUCGGAUUGUAAAGCACUUUAAGUUGGGAGGCGUUACCAAAAGAAUAAGCACCGGCUAACUUCGUGCCAGCCGCCGCGGUAAUAC